This is a long non-coding RNA of Beta vulgaris subsp. vulgaris (sugar beet), 329 nucleotides long. RefSeq lists it as uncharacterized. The record is from RefSeq and is a predicted model, not a curated record. NCBI's taxonomy places the organism in Eukaryota, Viridiplantae, Streptophyta, Magnoliopsida, Caryophyllales, Amaranthaceae. The transcript has 2 exons.
AAGUGACGUCGCCGUCGCCGCUGCUGUGUUGCUGUUGUCCUUUGCUGCGACGAACCGCCGGAGCUCAGUUCCCCUCUUGUGCUUUAUUUUCGUCCCUGCUCUACUUGAGCAGAGAGUCAAACAUUGUUGCAGGUUUGGUGUUGUGAGCUCGGAAUUGGAAGUGAAGCAAGAUAAAGAUGUCGUCGUAGCUUAUGGAUUGAGUUUGUUUCUAGAUAGUGUAUUUGAGAACAGUUAUUCAUUGUUCCUUUGUAUAUAACUUUUGGGAAUUAUAGUGGAGUUAUUGGUGUAAUUGAAGUCUUAUAUAAAGGAUUUUGUUUUGUGGGCCAUAA